This 473-nucleotide ribosomal RNA is filed under the name Xanthomonas sp. oral taxon 037. Its description in RNAcentral is "bacterial SSU rRNA". It matches the Rfam family "Bacterial small subunit ribosomal RNA", at positions 30 to 495 of the family's 1533-position model. Lineage: Bacteria; Pseudomonadati; Pseudomonadota; Gammaproteobacteria; Lysobacterales; Lysobacteraceae. The record is from RNAcentral.
UGAACGCUGGCGGUAGGCCUAACACAUGCAAGUCGAACGGCAGCACAGGAGAGCUUGCUCUCUGGGUGGCGAUGGCGGACGGUGAGGAAUGCAUCGGAAUCUACUCUUUCGUGGGGGAUAACGUAGGGAAACUUACGCUAAUACCGCAUACGACCUACGGGUGAAAGCCGGGGACCUUCGGGCCUGGCGCGAAAGAAUGAGCCGAUGCCCGAUUAGCUAGUUGGCGGGGUAAGAGCCCACCAAGGCGACGAUCGGUAGCUGGUCUGAGAGGAUGAUCAGCCACACUGGAACUGAGACACGGUCCAGACUCCUACGGGAGGCAGCAGUGGGGAAUAUUGGACAAUGGGCGCAAGCCUGAUCCAGCCAUACCGCGUGGGUGAAGAAGGCCUUCGGGUUGUAAAGCCCUUUUGUUGGGAAAGAAAAGCAGUCGGUUAAUACCCGAUUGUUCUGACGUACCCAAAGAAUAAGCACCG